RNAcentral lists this ribosomal RNA (430 nucleotides) under Bacteroidota bacterium. Its description in RNAcentral is "Bacteroidetes bacterium partial 16S ribosomal RNA". It matches the Rfam family "Bacterial small subunit ribosomal RNA", at positions 355 to 776 of the family's 1533-position model. Lineage: Bacteria; Pseudomonadati; Bacteroidota. The record is from RNAcentral.
UAGGGAAUCUUCGGCAAUGGGGGGAACCCUGACCGAGCAACGCCGCGUGAGUGAAGAAGGUUUUCGGAUCGUAAAGCUCUGUUGUUAAGGAAGAACGAGUGUGAGAAUGGAAAGUUCAUGCUGUGACGGUACUUAACCAGAAAGGGACGGCUAACUACGUGCCAGCAGCCGCGGUAAUACGUAGGUCCCGAGCGUUGUCCGGAUUUAUUGGGCGUAAAGAGCUUGUAGGCGGUUCGUCGCGUCUGGUGUGAAAGCCCAUCGCUUAACGGUGGGUUUGCGCCGGGUACGGGCGGGCUAGAGUGCAGUAGGGGAGACUGGAAUUCUCGGUGUAACGGUGGAAUGUGUAGAUAUCGGGAAGAACACCAAUGGCGAAGGCAGGUCUCUGGGCUGUUACUGACGCUGAGAAGCGAAAGCGUGGGGAGCGAACAGG